ACGCUGGCGGCAGGCCUAACACAUGCAAGUCGAGCGGUAGAGAGAAGCUCGCUUCUCUUGAGAGCGGCGGACGGGUGAGUAAUGCCUAGGAAUCUGCCUGGUAGUGGGGGAUAACGUUCGGAAACGGACGCUAAUACCGCAUACGUCCUACGGGAGAAAGCAGGGGACCUUCGGGCCUUGCGCUAUCAGAUGAGCCUAGGUCGGAUUAGCUAGUUGGUGGGGUAAUGGCUCACCAAGGCGACGAUCCGUAACUGGUCUGAGAGGAUGAUCAGUCACACUGGAACUGAGACACGGUCCAGACUCCUACGGGAGGCAGCAGUGGGGAAUAUUGGACAAUGGGCGAAAGCCUGAUCCAGCCAUGCCGCGUGUGUGAAGAAGGUCUUCGGAUUGUAAAGCACUUUAAGUUGGGAGGAAGGGCAGUUGCCUAAUACGUAACUGUUUUGACGUUACCGACAGAAUAAGCACCGGCUAACUCUGUGCCAGCAGCCGCGGUAAUACAGAGGGUGCAAGCGUUAAUCGGAAUUACUGGGCGUAAAGCGCGCGUAGGUGGUUUGUUAAGUUGGAUGUGAAAUCCCCGGGCUCAACCUGGGAACUGCAUUCAAAACUGACUGACUAGAGUAUGGUAGAGGGUGGUGGAAUUUCCUGUGUAGCGGUGAAAUGCGUAGAUAUAGGAAGGAACACCAGUGGCGAAGGCGACCACCUGGACUGAUACUGACACUGAGGUGCGAAAGCGUGGGGAGCAAAC
This 745-nucleotide ribosomal RNA is filed under the name uncultured bacterium. RNAcentral describes it as "bacterial SSU rRNA". It matches the Rfam family "Bacterial small subunit ribosomal RNA", at positions 33 to 773 of the family's 1533-position model. The record is from RNAcentral.